Molecule: ribosomal RNA, 908 nt
Filed under: Trametes versicolor
Lineage: Eukaryota; Fungi; Basidiomycota; Agaricomycetes; Polyporales; Polyporaceae
Description: LSU rRNA
Rfam family: Eukaryotic large subunit ribosomal RNA
Source: RNAcentral
CGAGGAUUCCCCUAGUAACUGCGAGUGAAGCGGGAAAAGCUCAAAUUUAAAAUCUGGCGGUCUUUGGCCGUCCGAGUUGUAGUCUGGAGAAGCGUCUUCCGCGUUGGACCGUGUACAAGUCUCUUGGAACAGAGCGUCAUAGAGGGUGAGAAUCCCGUCUUUGACACGGACUACCAAUGCUUUGUGAUGCGCUCUCAAAGAGUCGCGUUGUUUGGGAAUGCAGCGCAAAAUGGGAGGUGAAUUCCUUCUAAAGCUAAAUAUUGGCGAGAGACCGAUAGCGAACAAGUACCGUGAGGGAAAGAUGAAAAGCACUUUGGAAAGAGAGUUAAACAGUACGUGAAAUUGCUAAAAGGGAAACGCUUGAAGUCAGUCGCGUCGUCCGGAACUCAGCUUUGCUUCGGCUUAGUGCACUUUCCGGUUGACGGGCCAGCAUCGAUUUUGACCGCUGGAAAAGGGCUGGAGGAAUGUGGCACCUUCGGGUGUGUUAUAGCCUUCAGUCGCAUACAGCGGUUGGGAUCGAGGAACGCAGCGCGCCUUAUGGCUGGGGUUCGCCCACAUUCGCGCUUAGGAUGCUGGCAUAAUGGCUUUAAACGACCCGUCUUGAAACACGGACCAAGGAGUCUAACAUGCCUGCGAGUGUUUGGGUGGAAAACCCGAGCGCGUAAUGAAAGUGAAAGUUGAGACCUCUGUCGUGGAGGGCAUCGACGCCCGGACCUGACGUUUUCUGAAGGAUCCGCGGUAGAGCAUGUAUGUUGGGACCCGAAAGAUGGUGAACUAUGCCUGAAUAGGGUGAAGCCAGAGGAAACUCUGGUGGAGGCUCGUAGCGAUUCUGACGUGCAAAUCGAUCGUCAAAUUUGGGUAUAGGGGCGAAAGACUAAUAGAACCAUCUAGUAGCUGGUUCCUGCCGA